CAGUCGCCGCGGUAAAACGUAGGUGGCAAGCGUUGUCCGGAAUUAUUGGGCGUAAAGGGCUCGCAGGCGGUUUCUUAAGUCUGAUGUGAAAGCCCCCGGCUCAACCGGGGAGGGUCAUUGGAAACUGGGAAACUUGAGUGCAGAAGAGGAGAGUGGAAUUCCACGUGUAGCGGUGGAAUGCGUAGAGAUGUGGAGGAACACCAGUGGCGAAGGCGACUCUCUGGUCUGUAACUGACGCUGAGGAGCGAAAGCGUGGGGAGCGAACAGGAUUAGAUACCCCAGUAGUCCCUGUCUCUUAUAC
RNAcentral lists this ribosomal RNA (301 nucleotides) under uncultured bacterium. RNAcentral describes it as "partial 16S ribosomal RNA". It matches the Rfam family "Bacterial small subunit ribosomal RNA", at positions 509 to 807 of the family's 1533-position model. The record is from RNAcentral.